UGGAUUGAGUUAAAACUAUUUUAUUUAACUCUAUAAAAAUAAAGAGUUCGUGUCAAAACAGAGUGUUACCACUUUUUAAAAAAAAAUUAACUACAGUGUUUUGUUAGUGGAGUUUGUUAACUCUUAGGGUGUUAAAUAGAGAAGACCUCCCCCUCUUUACAGCACACACUGAACCGUGUUUUUGGAUGAUGCAGUUCAAGCAGAAGAUCAUCUCUUUCACUGUAAAUGGAGAUUUGCUUUGGGGACUUUGGAGGAGCACAGAAAUAGGCCUACAUGAAAAUUUCUUCAGACAAAGAGCAAUUUUAUAACA
This is a non-coding RNA of Misgurnus anguillicaudatus (oriental weatherfish), 310 nucleotides long. The record is from RefSeq and is a predicted model, not a curated record. NCBI's taxonomy places the organism in Eukaryota, Metazoa, Chordata, Actinopteri, Cypriniformes, Cobitidae.